This is a non-coding RNA of Phoenix dactylifera (date palm), 5066 nucleotides long. The record is from RefSeq and is a predicted model, not a curated record. Lineage: Eukaryota; Viridiplantae; Streptophyta; Magnoliopsida; Arecales; Arecaceae.
AAGAUGCUGCUUACUCCCAAUAUAUACAAAAAAUCUCCAAACAUAGCCACAUAUGCAGCCAAAUAUAAGAAACACUAUAUUUAUGUUCUACCAAUUCACUAAUUAAUUAACAAAUAUGGAGAUUUGGAGUCAAGAAGUUGGAAGCAUAAUUGCUAGAUUUAAACUAAAAAAGAGGUUUUUAUUAAAUACACAUUACAUGGCCAAUGCUUGGUGGUAGAAACAUCCAAAAAAUAAAUCAAGUGAUAUUAGUUUUGAGAACACGGAAUAUUACUAUGAGCGACAUGUUCCCAUAUGAAGAAUUGGGAAUGCAGAGUUGGUUUCUGUGGAACAAGUACCCAUUUUGCAAAUAGACAACUCAGGUUUUUUUCUAUUUUCACCACACUCAAGUCUUAUGUAAGUGGAACUGCAUUUAUAUCAUCCCAUAAUGAUUCUUGACUGACUUAAAACUUGCAACUACAAUGGUCAUGCCUUGGAAAAACUAGGUCCUCGAGCUUGGGCACUGACCCAUUAUUUAUAUGACAAAUAUGCAUAUUUCUUACUUGAGCAUGCAUAUGAAACCAUAAGUAGGGUAGUUAACUUAAUAUCAACACUUCUUCUUUUUUUUGCAAAAACAUCAUAUUUUUAAAAAGAAAAAGAAAACAUAAUUUAAUAAAAGGAUAAAAACAUAAUGUGGUACCCGUCGCUAUUUACAGAUCGGUUUUCGGUUCAGCGCCUAUGGGGGAUCGAUCAUGGGUUUCCGAACCUUGCUCACGAGUCAAAGACAGAUCGGCUCGAGCCCCAACCCGAGUGAUUUAAGCCCGACUCUCUCCGGCCAAGGCUAACCAAAUAGAAAUCGAGGGAAGCCCAGCCCUACAUAUAAAUCUCGCCGAAGGGCUCCGCGUCUCGCGGUCGGCUCCACUCCAGAAGAAGCUGUCGCUGGUCGCAACUCGUUGAACCCUUAAAACCCGAGCCGACGUCAGGUACGCCUCCUCGGUCUCCAUCUCUUCCAUUCUUCGAAUCAUGAUUAGUUCUCUUCUUCGUUCUCGUUCCGGUUGGAAUCUUGACCUCGUGGUUCAGUAAUUUAGGUUUCCAUUUUCUCUCUUUGUCUCUAAGCAUUUAUAGUAGUUAUUGGUACACUUUACUGUUGAUUUAUAAAGGUUCUGAUUGAAAUCCGAGGUUUUUAGUUGGGAUUGCAUGAUAAAGCUCUUGUCUUUGGUCUGCGAAGAGCUGAUCCUCUGAUUUCUUCCCUGUUUGUCCAAGUGAGCAACUUUAAUGAGUGUUCCAUAGGGCAGCGCUUAGCUUCUUCUGUGGUUUAAGAAAUACUAAAGGCUGCUCUUUUUUGUGUUACGUUCUGCAAUUAGUAGGGUUUAAGCUUUUGCGCGGAAUCAUUGUUUGGAUGGGAGUUCUGUUGAAUUAUAUAAUCGUUGCUUUCUGUACAUCUUAACUUUUCUUUUUGCUUGAAAAUAUCUUUUGUUGCUUCAUGAUUGCUUGUACGUGCAAGCCAAGUUUGUAUACGCUAUCAGAAGAACCAGCGUGCCUAUGUAUAUGCAUUUUCCUGAAUUUUUUUAAAGAGAACUAUGUCAUUUCAGUUUGGGGGGGGCUUAAAUUCCUUUUUAAAUAGGAGUUAGAUCUUCCACUUGGCACCCGUAAAAUGAGUUAGUGUCGCAUAUGGCGUGAUUGUUGUUUUCUUUCUGGUUUAUUCAUUUGGAAUUAGCAUAUGAUAGUAUCUCAAUAUUUUACUUGCUGAUAGAACAUAAUGGUGUAUAUUUACUGUCUGAUUUUUCAAAUAGUAAAUUUUAAGGCUCGGAAAUGGAGGAAUUGGAAUUUUACAAAAUGGAAUCUGCAGUCUUUCUUUUUGUGAUCCGGCCCCUAAUUGGACCUGCAUAUCCUGCCGUUAGAAAAAAAUAUUUUUCUUGAUAAUAUCUUUGUUUCAAGAUGCUUUUAUAUGACAAGUUGGAGUUGCAUUAGCAAAAUUUUGUGAGUAACCAAAAUAGCAAAGCUGAUGAGAAUGAAUUAAAUUCCUGGAGGAGACAAGGAAAAACAUUAUCAAAGAAAAUCCAAAAGGUAAAAGAAAAAUCUGGAUUUAGAAAAUAUUACAAUAUGAGAUUAAAAAAAAAACCAUUUCCGAUGUUUUUCGGAUAGAAUUUUUCAAGUUAGAUCUAGAUUUCCUUAAAAUUUUCAUAUGUUAUAGAAAACAAUAAGAUGUUGCAGAAGAAAUAUCUGAACAUUAUUCCACGAUUUUUUUAAAAAAAUAUAUUCUGAUUGAUUUGUGGAGCAAUACAUAUCUCUAUCCUAGGAUUCCUAUAUAAUGAUGGAAUAUGGCAUGCAUCUUUAUGGUGUUCUUGGAGUUCUUAUUCCUUUUUUAAAGUCUGUAAAUAGCAAAAAAUUUGUGGGAAUUACAAAUGAGUUCUUUCAUUUCAUUAAUAUAAACUCAUUGUGGUCGCAUUGUAAAUACUUAUGACAAUGCUUGGGAUGCAUUAAAGUGGUUUUUGUAAUAUUAAAGUGGUGCUCUAUACUUGUUUUUUCAAGUUUAGAUCAAAUAAUGCUUACUAAUUAUUACAUUUUAAGUCGAGUUCAUGUGUUAACUGUUGUCAAUGUAUCUUUUGGUCAUACAAUAUGGAUACUUUACUGAGAUUAAUGCAAGUUAUAAUCAUUAAUUGAAAUAUGUGAAGGUAUAUUUUUUUUGUAAAUACUGUUUAGGCACUUGCCUAAUCGCUUGGGCUGCUCCUGGGAUAUAGAAGGCUCCACCACCUUGGGCUGCCUAGGCUAUUUGACCACUGAGUGGUGGUGGCCUUAAUUAAUUCUCAAAGCCCUAGUACAAGAUGUCAUCCCUUCUAUCAAGCAAAACAUGGAGCUAUAAGUUGAGCUGCAUUUAUUUGGACUGUACGUGCACCAUACAUGCAGUCAGUUAACCACACAAACAAUAUCCCCAUUAUCUCAGAUGAUUAAUACCCAUAUAUAUUUAGUAGCCAUCUAACCAUUGCUUGAUGCAUACAAGUACACAUUUAUAUAUUAAAAUCAUUAUUCUGUUGUUAAUAAUCUCAGUCUAUUUAUGUAUCAUAAAUAUAUCUAAGGCCAAAAAUGGUUUUGUAGUCUAAGAACAGUUAAGUCAUGUAGAACAAAGGAGAAAUAUGAAAGAAGAGGAAUAAAGUUUAUAACAAUUUUCUUUUUAAUGUUGGCUCUCCAUUCUUCUGAGUUAUGGAGAAUUGAUAACUAAAUAUUUAUUAAAUCUCUUUUACCAUUUAAUGGUUAAAAUGCAUGCUCGAGAGAUUCCCAUAUUUACAUUCUUCUUCUCUUAAUUCUUGUCUCUUUCUGCCGUCUUAGUAUCAGAACAAGUCUGCUUUAUCAAAUUGAGGUCCUUGAAGUCUCAAGUAUUUUCAAAAAAAAAAUAAUAAGUGGGGGUUGAAGUAUUAAGACCAUUGAAGAGGUUGGGAAUCUUGCAGAGAAGAUUAAAUCGGUUAUGGAUUCAUUUCUUACCCAAGAUUUGGGCAACUAAGAUCUCUUUAACCAUAUCUUCUGUACAUGCUUUUAUUUAUGUUGGGAGUUCUGAGGAUUCUUAUGCAGAGGAUGUCAUGAAAAGUUAAUUUACAACCUAUGUGCAUUGACAUAGAAGACAUGCAUUAAAGAUGCUGGAUAUCUCUCAAAAUUUGAGAGAAGCAUCUCAUGAUUAAUGCUUAUAAUCUUAAUAUUGUGAUGGAGAACAAAAACCUAUUAUCUUCACUGCUAGAACUUGAAACCUCUUAUCUUUCGGCCUGAUCGUUAAUCCAAAUGUUUCUUUUGUCUCACUUGUGAUUCCGGCACCUCUUACCUAGCGAAAAAUUUCAGGGAAGGAGCAUUUGAGAGUGAAUAAGCACGAACAAAAAUAAUUGUCUUUUGGUAGGUUUAAUUGUUUUUAUGUGUAUCCUGCCCACAUGCUAAAUAACAUUAGUCUUUAUUGUAGAGUAUCAUUGUUAUACUCUGUGAUUUGCGGACAGAUCCAAUCUUGGGAUCUGAAAAGUUGGCCUGAUGCUUAAUAUAUACCCCUUCUUUUGAUCCAGCAACCUUGUGGCACAAUACUAGGAAUCCACCCCUGAUUUAUUUUAUCAUACUAAAUUCAGCUGUGUAAUCUAAUUUGACAACAAACCUAAUUUAAAUCUGUAUUUACUAUCUCGUAGUAAUUCAAGGGGAAAGUCAUGCAUCUACUUAAAGACCAUUAUGCUUGAGAACUGUACAAAAACAAACAAAUCCUGACUCUCCAGGAAGGUAGUCUGAUUCUAAAUUUUUUCACAAACUUGUUAACUAACAACACUAUAAAUUAUCCCAUUCUUACCUUUUUUUGCUACAUCACUUAGACCCCGUUAACUCUAUCAAACUGGAAGAGUCUUAACACAUUGAAAAGGUUUUGCUUCAAAAAAAAUUCCUUAUAUAUUCUCUGCCUAAAAGAAUAUUAGUUUUAUUGUACAACAUAAAUGAGUGCUCAGGUCUUAUUUAUCACUCUUGGAAGGCUAAAUUUUGGUUGAAUUCAAGAGCACAGUUUUAAUCAAUUAGUAAAUGCUGAACCCAACGAGGUUUUGCAAAACCAAUUUAAGCAAACUCUGUCAUAGUCUGGUGCCUGUUCCCAACUGGAUUCAGAUAUCAUGGAAAAACCAUAAAAUGAAACUUCAAAAAAAAAAGGAGAAAAAUUAAUUUUCAAUUGUUGCCUGGGCAAGACAUUUCCAGUUAUAUUGGAUCCAGUGCGUUGCUUGUUCUAUUUGCAUCAAAUUCAAUCCAUGCAGAACUAUGUUCUUAAAUUCGUCCACCUGUUCAUGAUGUAAUCUUCCUGUCUUAAUUCCCACUUCACAUUCAAAAUAGUUGUUUCUAGUCUGUAUUUGUUGAUGUCCCCUCUAAUUGCUAGUUCACAGGUUAUUUAGGUCACCACCUAAGUGAUAAUAUAUUCUUCUGACAUAUAAAAUUUUCAACGACAUAUUUUGGUUGGAUUUUUUCAUCUGUUAGCUCUUACUUGACAACUUUAGACAGUAAUUAGGGGCCGGAUCACAAAAAGAAAGACUGCAGAUUCCAUUUUGUAAAAUUUCAAUUCCUCCAUUUCCGAGCCUUAAAAUUUACUAUUU